Hyla sarda is the source of this 818-nucleotide long non-coding RNA. RefSeq lists it as uncharacterized. Lineage: Eukaryota; Metazoa; Chordata; Amphibia; Anura; Hylidae. The record is from RefSeq and is a predicted model, not a curated record. The transcript is spliced from 10 exons.
ACAGAUUAAGGCUAAAAAUCCUCUCACUACUUCACAGAACGGUAAUAAAUCUCCCAGGACGUGUAGCGAAGUGCGCAUGCGUCAUGGAGUGGCCAUUAUAAACUACGUUUCCCGGCAUGCUCCUGGAGUAUCGCGGGAACUUCCGGCGGGAUUUGCCCGCUAUAUAAGCUCGCGUUACAGCUCUGUUAGGCCUUUCACAUGGCGGCAGCGGAAGGAGAACGAGAUGGAUGCACGGGCUUGGGAAGAAGUCACCUGACCUGCAAGGUGACUGCAGUGCAUUAUGGGACUCCGCUGGUGUGAACUGGUCAGAACUUUACCUUAGGUGACUGCAAUGCAUUAUGGGAUUCCGCUGGUGUGAACUGAUCAGAACUUUACCUUAGGUGACUGCAGUGCAUUAUGGGACUCCGCUGGUGUGAACUGGUCAGAGCUUUACCUUAGAGAUGGAGGCACGGGCUUGGAAAGCGGCAGAUGUCACCUGAUUAGCGAGGUGACUGCAGUGCAUUAUGGGAUUCCGCUGGUGUGAUCUGGUCAGAACUUUAGAGAUGGAUGCACGGGCUUGGAAAGGGGCAGGAGAGGUCACCUGACCGGCAAGUAUCUUUUAUUAGGUGUGGGGGAGUCCUUGUCGGAUCGUGAUUUCCGGAAAACAAAGUGCCUGUAUAUUGGGAUGACAUCUGAAGAUGAGCUGCACAUGUGACUAAUCGUGAUGUGAAGUUGAAGGGUUAACUUCAGGACGUAGAAAUUCAUCAGAUCUGUGUGAUUUGCCUCCAAUGUAACAUAUUAAAGAUAAUAAAAUAAAGUUUGUAUUCUGAAGCUCUGUA